CAACGAAUUACCAAAUCAAUCAAAAAAAAAAUUAUUAGAGAUUAUCGAAAGAAUGCUAGAAAACCCAAAAUCCAACAAAUUGAAACAUGAGAAAAGAAAUAGAAAAUGAACUUGUAUGCAGAUAGAAAUUGGAGGAAGAAGGCAGAGAUAGUCUCUCUCUCUCUCUCUCCCCCCCUCCCCUCUCUGCGUAUAAUAUUUGGGCAUUUUGUGACUUUUCCAUCAAAAGUAGACGGACAUCAAACCAUCGCCGUGUCUAAGUAUUGAUGGGCAUACCUUGAAGAGCAAUUGAAGAAGAACACAAAUAAUUCAAAUCAAUGUAAACAAUUAUUUCGUAAAAAUGCAGAAAAACAUCAACGAAUUACCAGAUCAAUUGAAAAAAAUAAGUACUUUUUUAGAGAUUAUCAAGAGAAUGCUAGAAAACCCAAAAUCCAACGAAUUGAAACAUGAGAAAAGAAUCGGAAAAUGAACCUGUAUGUAGACAGAAAUUGGAGGAAGAAUGUAGAGAUAUUCUCGCUCUCUCUCUCUCUCCCCGCCUCUCUCGCUGCGUAUAAUAUUUGGGUAUUUUGUGACUUUUCCAUCAAAAGUAGAUGAACAUCAAACCGUCGCCGCACCUAAGCAUUGAUGGGCAUACCAUGAAGAACGAUUGA
This 647-nucleotide long non-coding RNA is filed under the name Olea europaea subsp. europaea. The record is from RNAcentral. Lineage: Eukaryota; Viridiplantae; Streptophyta; Magnoliopsida; Lamiales; Oleaceae.